CCAGCAUGUCAAGAUGGGGACUCUAACGGGACUGCCGGUGCAAACCGCGAGGAAGGUGGGGACGACGUCAAAUCAUCACGGCCCUUACGUCNUGGGNUACACACGUGCUACAAUGGCCGGUACAGAGGGAAGCCACCCCGCGAGGGGGCGCGGAUCUACAAAACCGGUCACAGUUCGGAUCGGGGUCUGCAACUCGACCCCGUGAAGCUGGAAUCGCUAGUAAUCGGAUAUCAGCCAUGAUCCGGUGAAUACGUUCCCGGGCCUUGUACACACCGCCCGUCAAGCCAUGGAAGCCGGGAGUGCCUGAAGUCCGUCACCGCAAGGA
RNAcentral lists this ribosomal RNA (325 nucleotides) under uncultured bacterium. Its description in RNAcentral is "bacterial SSU rRNA". It matches the Rfam family "Bacterial small subunit ribosomal RNA", at positions 1118 to 1451 of the family's 1533-position model. The record is from RNAcentral.